Non-coding RNA from Strongylocentrotus purpuratus (purple sea urchin), 45 nucleotides. The record is from Rfam. Lineage: Eukaryota; Metazoa; Echinodermata; Echinoidea; Camarodonta; Strongylocentrotidae.
CAAACGGCCCUUUUAAGGGCCAUCCUCUGGUGUUAUGUUACUGUA